RNAcentral lists this ribosomal RNA (1447 nucleotides) under uncultured organism. RNAcentral describes it as "SSU rRNA". It matches the Rfam family "Bacterial small subunit ribosomal RNA". The record is from RNAcentral.
GCUCAGGAUGAACGCUAGCUACAGGCUUAACACAUGCAAGUCGAGGGGCAGCAUGGUCUUAGCUUGCUAAGGCCGAUGGCGACCGGCGCACGGGUGAGUAACACGUAUCCAACCUGCCGUCUACUCUUGGACAGCCUUCUGAAAGGAAGAUUAAUACAAGAUGGCAUCAUGAGUCCGCAUGUUCACAUGAUUAAAGGUAUUCCGGUAGACGAUGGGGAUGCGUUCCAUUAGAUAGUAGGCGGGGUAACGGCCCACCUAGUCUUCGAUGGAUAGGGGUUCUGAGAGGAAGGUCCCCCACAUUGGAACUGAGACACGGUCCAAACUCCUACGGGAGGCAGCAGUGAGGAAUAUUGGUCAAUGGGCGCAGGCCUGAACCAGCCAAGUAGCGUGAAGGAUGACUGCCCUAUGGGUUGUAAACUUCUUUUAUAAAGGAAUAAAGUCGGGUAUGGAUACCCGUUUGCAUGUACUUUAUGAAUAAGGAUCGGCUAACUCCGUGCCAGCAGCCGCGGUAAUACGGAGGAUCCGAGCGUUAUCCGGAUUUAUUGGGUUUAAAGGGAGCGUAGAUGGAUGUUUAAGUCAGUUGUGAAAGUUUGCGGCUCAACCGUAAAAUUGCAGUUGAUACUGGAUAUCUUGAGUGCAGUUGAGGCAGGCGGAAUUCGGGGUGUAGCGGUGAAAUGCUUAGAUAUCACGAAGAACUCCGAUUGCGAAGGCAGCCUGCUAAGCUGCAACUGACAUUGAGGCUCGAAAGGGUGGGUAUCAAACAGGAUUAGAUACCCUGGUAGUCCACACGGUAAACGAUGAAUACUCGCUGUUUGCGAUAUACUGCAAGCGGCCAAGCGAAAGCGUUAAGUAUUCCACCUGGGGAGUACGCCGGCAACGGUGAAACUCAAAGGAAUUGACGGGGGCCCGCACAAGCGGAGGAACAUGUGGUUUAAUUCGAUGAUACGCGAGGAACCUUACCCGGGCUUAAAUUGCAGAUGAAUUACGGUGAAAGCCGUAAGCCGCAAGGCAUCUGUGAAGGUGCUGCAUGGUUGUCGUCAGCUCGUGCCGUGAGGUGUCGGCUUAAGUGCCAUAACGAGCGCAACCCUUGUUGUCAGUUACUAACAGGUUCCGCUGAGGACUCUGACAAGACUGCCAUCGUAAGAUGUGAGGAAGGUGGGGAUGACGUCAAAUCAGCACGGCCCUUACGUCCGGGGCUACACACGUGUUACAAUGGGGGGUACAGAGGGCCGCUACCACGCGAGUGGAUGCCAAUCCCAAAAACCUCUCUCAGUUCGGACUGGAGUCUGCAACCCGACUCCACGAAGCUGGAUUCGCUAGUAAUCGCGCAUCAGCCACGGCGCGGUGAAUACGUUCCCGGGCCUUGUACACACCGCCCGUCAAGCCAUGGGAGCCGGGGGUACCUGAAGUGCGUAACCGCGAGGAGCGCCCUAGGGUAAAACUGGUG